UACGUAGGUGGCAAGCGUUGUCCGGAUUUACUGGGCGUAAAGGGAGCGUAGGCGGAUACUUAAGUGGGAUGUGAAAUACCUGGGCUUAACUUGGGUGCUGCAUUCCAAACUGGGUGUCUAGAGUGUUGGAGAGGAAAGUGGAAUUCCUAGUGUAGCGGUGAAAUGCGUAGAGAUUAGGAAGAACACCAGUGGCGAAGGCGACUUUCUGGACAAUAACUGACGCUGAGGCUCGAAAGCGUGGGGAGCAAACAGGAUUAGAUACCCUGGUAGUCCACGCCGUAAACGAUGGGUAAUAGGUGUAGGAGGUAUAGACUCAUCCUGUGCCGCCGUUAACACAAUAAGUACCCCGCCUGGGGAGUACGGUCGCAAGAUUAAA
RNAcentral lists this ribosomal RNA (376 nucleotides) under uncultured bacterium. RNAcentral's name for it is "bacterial SSU rRNA". It matches the Rfam family "Bacterial small subunit ribosomal RNA", at positions 524 to 898 of the family's 1533-position model. The record is from RNAcentral.